AGUGAACGCUGGCGGUAGGCCUAACACAUGCAAGUCGAACGGCAGCACAGUAAGAGCUUGCUCUUACGGGUGGCGAGUGGCGGACGGGUGAGGAAUACAUCGGAAUCUACUUUUUCGUGGGGGAUAACGUAGGGAAACUUACGCUAAUACCGCAUACGACCUACGGGUGAAAGCAGGGGAUCUUCGGACCUUGCGCGAUUGAAUGAGCCGAUGUCGGAUUAGCUAGUUGGCGGGGUAAAGGCCCGCCAAGGCGACGAUCCGUAGCUGGUCUGAGAGGAUGAUCAGCCACACUGGAACUGAGACACGGUCCAGACUCCUACGGGAGGCAGCAGUGGGGAAUAUUGGACAAUGGGCGCAAGCCUGAUUCAGCCAUACCGCGUGGGUGAAGAAGGCCUUCGGGUUGUAAAGCCCUUUUGUUGGGAAAGAAAAGCAGCAGGUUAAUACCCCGCUGUUCUGACGGUACCCAAAGAAUAAGCACCGGCUAACUUCGUG
RNAcentral lists this ribosomal RNA (492 nucleotides) under uncultured bacterium. Its description in RNAcentral is "partial 16S ribosomal RNA". It matches the Rfam family "Bacterial small subunit ribosomal RNA", at positions 29 to 507 of the family's 1533-position model. The record is from RNAcentral.